AUUGAACGCUGGCGGCAGGCCUAACACAUGCAAGUCGAGCGGAUGAAGGUAGCUUGCUCCUGGAUUCAGCGGCGGACGGGUGAGUAAUGCCUAGGAAUCUGCCUGGUAGUGGGGGAUAACGUUCGGAAACGGGCGCUAAUACCGCAUACGUUCUGAGGGAGAAAGUGGGGGAUCUUCGGACCUCACGCUAUCAGAUGAUCCUAGGUCGGAUUAGCUAGUUGGUGGGGUAAAGGCCUACCAAGGCGACGAUCCGUAACUGGUCUGAGAGGAUGAUCAGUCACACUGGAACUGAGACACGGUCCAGACUCCUACGGGAGGCAGCAGUGGGGAAUAUUGGACAAUGGGCGAAAGCCUGAUCCAGACAUGCCGCGUGUGUGAAGAAGGUCUUCGGAUUGUAAAGCACUUUAAGUUGGGAGGAAGGGCAGUAAGUUAAUACCUUGCUGUUUUGACGUUACCAACAGAAUAAGCACCGGCUAACUUCGUG
This 484-nucleotide ribosomal RNA is filed under the name uncultured bacterium. RNAcentral's name for it is "partial 16S ribosomal RNA". It matches the Rfam family "Bacterial small subunit ribosomal RNA", at positions 30 to 507 of the family's 1533-position model. The record is from RNAcentral.